AGACGUUCUCGAGCGCCUGGCCUCCCCACGGGGGAGGUGACGAGGAAGAGGGUCAUCGAAAGACUCGGCGGAUACCCUCUCGGCCGCUCACGGCCGUGACGGUGCGGAGCAAACCCCGGGGGCGACCCCGGUGCAUAGAAGCCGCAUCGAUGUGAGGC
This 158-nucleotide non-coding RNA is filed under the name Actinomycetota bacterium. RNAcentral's name for it is "Actinobacteria bacterium GlcN6P sequence". It matches the Rfam family "glmS glucosamine-6-phosphate activated ribozyme aptamer". From Rfam's summary of the family: This entry contains a glucosamine-6-phosphate activated ribozyme that is found in the mRNA for GlmS. GlmS is an enzyme that uses fructose-6-phosphate and glutamine to generate glucosamine-6-phosphate. The ribozyme catalyses self cleavage of the glmS mRNA that is thought to regulate GlmS activity. The record is from RNAcentral. Lineage: Bacteria; Bacillati; Actinomycetota.